This 374-nucleotide ribosomal RNA is filed under the name uncultured organism. Its description in RNAcentral is "partial 16S ribosomal RNA". It matches the Rfam family "Bacterial small subunit ribosomal RNA", at positions 525 to 896 of the family's 1533-position model. The record is from RNAcentral.
AGAGGGGGUGCGAGCGUUAAUCGGAAUUACUGGGCGUAAAGGGCGCGUAGGUGGUUUAUCAAGUUGGGAUGUAAAAGCCCCGGGGCUUAACCUGGGAAAGCCAUUCAAGACUGUUAGACUAGAGUGCGGUAGAGGGAAGUGGAAUUUCCGGUGUAGCGGUGAAAUGCGUAGAUAUCGGAAGGAACACCAGAGGCGAAGGCGACUUUCUGGACUGCCACUGACACUGAGGCGCGAAAGCGUGGGGAGCGAACAGGAUUAGAUACCCUGGUAGUCCACGCUGUAAACGAUGAAUACUAGCCGUUGGUGCCGUAAAGGCAUAAGUGGCGCAGCAAACGCGAUAAGUAUUCCGCCUGGGGAGUACGACCGCAAGGUUA